AGAGUUUGAUCAUGGCUCAGGAUGAACGCUAGCGGCAGGCCUAAUACAUGCAAGACGAACGGUAAGUUGGGUAGCAAUACUUGACCUAGAGUGUCGUAAGGGUGCGUAACACGUAUGCAAUCUGCCCUCAACAGGAGGAUAGCUCGCCGAAAGGCGAAUUAACACUCCAUAAGAUCGUAGUGUGGCAUCACAUAGCGAUUAAAACUCCGGUGGUUGAGGAUGAGCAUGCGGAUGAUUAGCUAGUUGGUGAGGUAACGGCUCACCAAGGCGAUGAUCAAUAGGGGAACUGAGAGGUUGAUCCCCCACACUGGCACUGAGAUACGGGCCAGACUCCUACGGGAGGCAGCAGUAGGGAAUAUUGGACAAUGGGCGCAAGCCUGAUCCAGCCAUGCCGCGUGCAGGAAGAAGGCUUUCUGAGUUGUAAACUGCUUUUGCCAGGGGAUAAAAAGUCCCUGCGGGGAAAAUUGAAGGUACCUGGUGAAUAAGCCACGGCUAACUACGUGCCAGCAGCCGCGGUA
RNAcentral lists this ribosomal RNA (518 nucleotides) under uncultured Bacteroidota bacterium. RNAcentral describes it as "bacterial SSU rRNA". It matches the Rfam family "Bacterial small subunit ribosomal RNA", at positions 8 to 522 of the family's 1533-position model. The record is from RNAcentral. Lineage: Bacteria; Pseudomonadati; Bacteroidota.